CACAGACGGUUUAUAUGAACAUUAUAUUAACAUCAGAAACAGCAGCAACAGAAAGUGUUCAUAUGAUAUGAAGGAGUUUCUGCUGAGCUGAGGAUAAACUGGACUGAACAGGGUGAAACGAGGUGAAAACUCUUCUGCACGUAAACGUGAGUUUUCAGAGCUUCCUGUGCUGAUGGACUCACUCGACUGUGGGAGAAGAAACUGUUCCCUGAACUCAGUUUAGUCAUGCAUCUGUGCUGUGAUAUGAACUUUUGGCUGACAGGAACUACAGCUCCCACAAUCCCCCAGAGAUUGUCAUGACUAAUGCUACACCCCCGCCCCCUGAAUGGCCUGAGAUCAGUUACAGCAAAGUAAAAAGUCAUCUGCAGAACAUUAGUUGGUCAUGUGACCUGUUCUCUGCAACAUGUUUCAGUUUCAUCACUUCAAUGCUGUUUUUACUGUGAUGGAUAAAUAACAGCAGCAGUAAUACUCUGAUUAACACUGGCAUUAGUAGUAAUCAUCGCUGUGAGUAAAAGAGUAACACGAGUAGUAAAGCAGCAGUAACUCUAAUAAAGUAGCAGCUGCAGUAAACCAGUAGUACCUGUAGUUAAACGCUUGUAACAGGCAGUAAAGUAGUGGGAGGUGCAGUAAAGCAGUGGGAGGUGCAGUAAAGCAGUGGUAGUUGCAGUAAAGCAGUGGGAGGUGCAGUAAAGUAGUGGGAGGUGCAGUAAAGCAGUGGUAGUUGCAGUAAAGCAGUGGGAGGUGCAGUAAAGCAGUGGUAGUUGCAGUAAAGCAGUGGGAGGUGCAGUAAAGCAGUGGGAGGUGCAGUAAAGCAGUGGGAGGUGCAGUAAAGCAGUGGGAGGUGCAGUAAAGCAGUGGUAGGUGCAGUAAAGCAGUGGGAGGUGCAGUAAAGCAGUGGUAGGUGCAGUAAAGCAGUGGGAGGUGCAGUCUUG
Long non-coding RNA from Lates calcarifer (barramundi perch), 932 nucleotides. RefSeq lists it as uncharacterized. The transcript has 3 exons. NCBI's taxonomy places the organism in Eukaryota, Metazoa, Chordata, Actinopteri, Centropomidae. The record is from RefSeq and is a predicted model, not a curated record.